RNAcentral lists this ribosomal RNA (499 nucleotides) under uncultured bacterium. Its description in RNAcentral is "bacterial SSU rRNA". It matches the Rfam family "Bacterial small subunit ribosomal RNA", at positions 36 to 524 of the family's 1533-position model. The record is from RNAcentral.
CCUGGCGGCAGGCUUACACAUGCNAGUCGAACGGUAGCAGGAAGAAGCUUGCUUCUUUGCUGACGAGUGGCGGACGGGUGAGUAAUGCUUGGGAAUCUGGCUUAUGGAGGGGGAUAACUACUGGAAACGGUAGCUAAUACCGCGUAAUGUCUACGGACUAAAGGGUGGGACUGUAAGGCCACCUGCCAUAAGAUGAGCCCAAGUGGGAUUAGGUAGUUGGUGAGGUAAAGGCUCACCAAGCCCGCGAUCUCUAGCUGGUCUGAGAGGAUGACCAGCCACACUGGAACUGAGACACGGUCCAGACUCCUACGGGAGGCAGCAGUGGGGAAUAUUGCACAAUGGGGGGAACCCUGAUGCAGCCAUGCCGCGUGAAUGAAGAAGGCCUUCGGGUUGUAAAGUUCUUUCGGUGACGAGGAAGGCGAUUGUUUUAAUAGAACAAUCGAUUGACGUUAAUCACAGAAGAAGCACCGGCUAACUCCGUGCCAGCAGCCGCGGUAAU